GUUUGAUCCUGGCUCAGGACGAACGCUGGCGGCGUGCUUAACACAUGCAAGUCGAACGAUGAAGCCGCUUCGGUGGUGGAUUAGUGGCGAACGGGUGAGUAACACGUGGGCAAUCUGCCCUGCACUCUGGGACAAGCCCUGGAAACGGGGUCUAAUACCGGAUAUGACUACUGAUCGCAUGGUUGGUGGUGGAAAGCUCCGGCGGUGCAGGAUGAGCCCGCGGCCUAUCAGCUUGUUGGUGGGGUGAUGGCCUACCAAGGCGACGACGGGUAGCCGGCCUGAGAGGGCGACCGGCCACACUGGGACUGAGACACGGCCCAGACUCCUACGGGAGGCAGCAGUGGGGAAUAUUGCACAAUGGGCGAAAGCCUGAUGCAGCGACGCCGCGUGAGGGAUGACGGCCUUCGGGUUGUAAACCUCUUUCAGCAGGGAAGAAGCGAGAGUGACGGUACCUGCAGAAGAAGCGCCGGCUAACUACGUGCCAGCAGCCGCGGUAAUACGUAGGGCGCGAGCGUUGUCCGGAAUUAUUGGGCGUAAAGAGCUCGUAGGCGGCUUGUCACGUCGGAUGUGAAAGCCCGGGGCUUAACCCCGGGUCUGCAUUCGAUACGGGCAGGCUAGAGUUCG
RNAcentral lists this ribosomal RNA (624 nucleotides) under Burkholderia pseudomallei. Its description in RNAcentral is "bacterial SSU rRNA". It matches the Rfam family "Bacterial small subunit ribosomal RNA", at positions 11 to 650 of the family's 1533-position model. The record is from RNAcentral. Lineage: Bacteria; Pseudomonadati; Pseudomonadota; Betaproteobacteria; Burkholderiales; Burkholderiaceae.